GAUUUGACAUAAUUUUUUCUGUGGCCAAUGACCUUGAGCCUUCUUGGAUUGGCACGUCUAAUGUAAAUCUAUGGCAGCACCCAAGGGAUUUUGAACUUUCUAGCGGUCCCUGUAUAUUUUGCGGUGACGUAGUGUCCCCAAGAGUGCCAGAACACUGAGCCAAUCACGGUGCAACUAGAGAACAUUACCAAACCCUACGCUCUGUACUUCCCCCUGUAUGCCCCACCACCACAGAAAGCACUGAGCUGGGCUGAAACACCUGCAUUUUGGAGCUUCCUUACUCAAGAAAGCAAGAAAGAGGCCAUGUUUGUAUGCAGCUUUAUUAGCUCAAUGCCUUGGGAAGGUAGACCGCUGAUUUCACAAGUUGUUGCACCCAUCCAUAAUCAGAUUAAUAAAUUCAGUAUGAAUCUAAGUUCACUCAUGAAGAUGUGUAGGUAAUAGUGAGUUUAUAAGGCUACAGUAUGGAAACAAACUAAGAUAAAGAAGACAGAAAUAGACAGAAGUCCCAAGACUCUGCACAGCCUAAUGGGAAAUAAUCAGGUGUGUUCUCUUCUAUUCAUGUCUUACUUUUAACUGGAUUGGUGGACGUCACUCCCCAAAUAAUAUCACUCCCUGUGUCACCAGACAAGUUCAACUUCUUUCUUACACUCAGGUAUCUUCUGAUAUCUUGUACACAUGGUCUACAAAGGUCAACCUAAAAUGUGCAUGUAAAAUACAUUUGAAUCUCCAUUUAAUUAUGUGCCUUUACAUAAGUGAGCCCUCCUUUACUGUUCUAGGAAAACCAGAUAGGUCACAAAUGCCUUUGGGGAGGUGGGAUCACAGGUUUCAGUGGGGUAGGAGGGGUCUAGUACUACUGCUGUUAUGUCAGAGAUUAGAGCAUUUAUAAAGCCAGUAAUCACAAUGCUUUUGUGAGUUUGUUCCGACCUGCAGUGCAGGAGAAGAAAAGGGAUGUUUCAUAUUUAAGGUGGAAAGGAAGAGUGCACACUUAGGACAUGAGGAGAGGGACAGCUCUUGCAGUGUUGGUGCUGGCACUUUUUUCAUCUGCUACAGCAAAGCCCAAAAGUCGCUUCACACGAUAUCCAUCAUGGAAUAUGAAAAUGGAUCCAGUCUGGAAAGAUGAAGAUCCUCGGUACAAAGACUCUUGGAAAGGUGGCAAGGUGAAGUUCAUUGUGGGUAAUGAUGCACCGACCCUGACUGGAGCCAAUGUGACCUUUACCAUCGAGCUGCAGUUCCCACACAACCAGAAGGUCACGCCCGAUGGAGAGGUGGUGUGGGCUGAGAACUGCACCGUCAAUGGAACAAAUUUCCAUCAGUCUGAGCCAGUGUAUCCUGCACAAAACAUGGACUGGAAUGAUGUCUUUCCUGACGGAACACCCUUCAAGAAGGGUGGUGACAAGCCCCCUGCAUAUGUGUUUGUAUGGAAGACAUGGGGUAAAGUGCAGCUGCGACCACUCUCACCUAUUAGGGCCUACAUAAUUCAUGUUUUACUUAAUGUCUGCCAAAGAUGUUAUAAACCUGUAAUAACACUGUUAUAAACAUGUAAUAAGCCAUUUUCUUUGCUUUACAGGUCAGUACUGGCAGGUGUCUGAUGGCCCAUCCUCCUCCCUCACCAUUGGGACAGACAAUGUCCCUCUGGGUUCCUACAUCGUGGACAUUGUAAUCUACCACUACCGCAGCCAUGAGAAGUUCAUCCCUCUGGGAUACGCCUCAACACAGUUCUCCAUCACUGAUCAAAUCCCCUUCGCAGUCUCGAUGACCCAAGUGAACGACAUCAACGAGGCAGACCUGAGCUUCGUCCAGAACAGAGCCAUAGCCUUCACCAUCAGCCUCCACGACCCCAGCGAGUACCUGAGUGACACCGACAUCACCUACAACUGGGACUUUGGUGACAGCAGCGGGGCGCUCAUCUCCAGAGAGCUGACUGUCACCCACACCUAUAUAGUGGCUGGUGGCUUCAAGCCCCAGGUGGUCGUACAGGCCGUUAUCCCUGAUAAAGCAUGUGCCACACCAGCUGGUGUCAACCCCACUGGUAAUGAUGUCACCAUCGGGCCUGCAAACCCAGCCGGCACAACAGGUCAUUCUCAUCUUGAAGCGCUUUAGUCCAGAAGUGAAUUUCUAAAGUCUUAACUUGGAUUCUUUGCAUCCUUAGUGUCUUCAAGAAGAGAGGAUGCGGGGAAUCAUGGAAAAUACUUUUGAGAUUCACUCAAUAUGUAGGCUAUGCCAGGAUUGACCAAGAAAAUAGAACAUGUAGUAGUCCUGUUUCUACCUCCAGUGAGAGCUCCUGCUGCUGAUGCGUCAGCUGCUCCAGUGAUGGUGACCACACAGGAAGCUACAAUAAAUGUAGGCCCAUCAGCUCCCGCUGAGACUGACACAGAGGACAUGACUGAGGAGGGAGCCUCCACCGCUCGGGACACGAAGAUACCUUCUCAAGUUAAUCCUGACACUCCAACUGUCCCUGCUGCUGAGGAAUUAGAGCCAGCAGGACAGACUGCUACAGGCCAAGCUCCCGUGGGGAUAGUUGUUAAGCGUGAAGCCAAUGACAAACCCAAGGAUGAUGACUGUGUGAUCUAUCGCUAUGGGUCCUUCUGCACUGGCAUUGACAUCGUUGACCCAAUUAAGGGAGUCUGUCUCAGACAAUCACACCAUUUAUUAUUUCCCUAAGCAGAAUCAUGAUCCACAGACAAAUCCACUAGCCUUCCCACAGAGGUGUGCACGGUGGUGUCCGAUGCAGACUGUUUUAUGCCCAUCCACACCAUGUGUAACACAGUGGCCCCCUCUAAUGAGUGCCAGCUGGUACUGCGUCACUUUUUCAAUGACUCCGGCAUCUUCUGUAUCAACGUGUCCAUGACCAACGAUGUCAGUCUGGCAGUCACCAGCGCCAAAUAUAGCGUGACCGUGGGUUCCAGUCUGUCCUCAGCUGGCACUGUAGCCAUGGCAAUGAUGGUCCUGAUCGUUGCCCUGGUCACAGGAACCAUGGUCUACACUUACAAACGAUUCAAAGCCUACCUUCCUCUGAAGGAGGAGUCUGUGGUUGGCUCCACCUCCCAGAGCUCUGAGAGCAGUCCUGGUUGGAGCUCUGGGCCUCUACUGUUCUGGAACCUUCUGAGUCGAUUGGACCUUAUAGAGAACAGCCCACUGCUCGAUGACAGGCUGGUGUGAAUGGAAAACAACCCAUUCAACUGCCAAAUACACAACAGCAUAGAAACAUCUGUCAUCUGAAAUGUUUAGCUUUUUCUUUAAUCGAUUUUUUAUACAUUUAUUUUUUAACUGAAAGUUCAUUAAUGGAUAUAAUUUCGCUUAUUACCAUCAAACUUAAAUGUGCAUCCUCAAAUGUUUAUACUGGAAGUUUUAUCAGUGAAUAGUAUUGUAAACUACUGUGAAGUCAGACAUUUAUAUGUAUUUUGGCAGUCACCCCCCCCCCCCCCCCCCCCCAAAACUGCACUAAUGUCUUUAUUUUUGUCAAGAUAAGGUGGUGAAUAAAGUCCAAGAGC
Oncorhynchus kisutch (coho salmon) is the source of this 3491-nucleotide RNA transcript. It is a transcript of the gene named melanocyte protein PMEL, with no coding region annotated. The record is from RefSeq and is a predicted model, not a curated record. The transcript has 10 exons. NCBI's taxonomy places the organism in Eukaryota, Metazoa, Chordata, Actinopteri, Salmoniformes, Salmonidae.